Molecule: long non-coding RNA, 2830 nt
Organism: Sphaerodactylus townsendi
Lineage: Eukaryota; Metazoa; Chordata; Lepidosauria; Squamata; Sphaerodactylidae
Exons: 2
Source: RefSeq, a predicted model, not a curated record
UCCUCCGCUUGUGUUUGUUCUCUGAGCCCGCUUCAGGUUUUUACUGUGGCUGGCAAGAGCAGUCUGGGGUGGCUUUGACAGAGCAUCACGUGGUUUCUUUUAAGCAUUGAUAACGGGUUUGGAUCCUGCCAAACAUUUCCCAUUCACAAAGAUUUCUAGCACAUCUGCCUUGCUAUUUCCCAUUGCAGGCCAAAUGCCUUCGGGGAGCGCACCCCCCCACCCCCCCCCCGCCUCCCAACAAUGUUGUGGGAAGCUGGAGGUCACUGGCAGGAGGGGCAUGGUUGGCAGAAAAUCACUUCCUACUGGUGGAAUUGCUCUGUGGGAUCCAGCCCAGUAGUUCAUAGAUAUCUGACAAAACAUUUUAACAAUUUCCAAUCUUAGCUGGAGCUAAUGUGUAGGUACUUUGGGACCCAUGAAGUGGGAAACUGUUGGUUUGCUAGUUAAGCCAGCAUGAGGACAGUAACCCAGGGGCCCACUGUCUUUUAUAAUUAAAAGAGCCAAAUUGUAUCAAAAUGGAGAAAGCAAGGACCAACUGUAAGAACCCAUUUGGUCAAUUCAUAGUAGCCAACACAAGGGAUAGGCAUGGAGAUUCCACAGCUUAAACUAACAGUUUUAAUAUACUUUCGAAGGCUUUCAUGGCCGGAUUCAACUGGUGGUGGGUUUUUCGGGCUGUGGCCAUAGUCUGGUAGAUCUACCAGACCACUGCCACACAGCCAGGAAAACCCACCACAGCCAACUAACAGUUGUAAAUCCUUUAUUUGGAAAUUGUACACUUACACAGUCUCACACUCAGUAAUAAAUACACCCAGGAGCACACUGAUGGUUGUAGUGUGCUGUUGUAAAUCUUCCAACUUGGAUUACUGUCAAACUUGUUUGCCGUCAUUUCCCUUUCAAUAAAGCAUCUCCAAGGAGCCCUAGCAUAACCUGUGUGCUGGCAAGUUACAAUGAACUUAUGGCAAUCCCCCAAGGGGUUGUCACCAGAUGAGGAGAGGUGGUUUGCCACGGCCUUCCCCGUAGAGCAGCCCUGGGGGGUUUCCUUGGUGGGCUCUUGUCCAAGUACUAACUGUAGCUGCCCUGCUUAGCUUCCAAGCACUUAUAAUUGUAGUCAGGGCAAUUGUGUCUGCUUUGCCCUUUAAUUCCAUUAAAAAGUUGCCGUUGCUUUCCCUAACGGGUUAUUUCAGUGUCUCAACUACUGUUUUGCUGUUAAGUCACAUCUGACUCGUGGCAACCCGUGGUGGCAUUUUUAAGACAAAGGGUCACCAGAGGUGGUUUGCCACUGCCUGCCUCCGAGUCACUCACCCUUGGUAUUCCUUGGAGGCCUCCUAUCCCAAAACCUGAGAGGUUGACACUGCUUGGCUUCUGAAAUCUGGCCAGAUCAGACUAACCUGAGGCUGUCUAGAUAAAUGCAUCUUUCACUGUGCCUUAAAAGUAAAGAUGUUGUGUGUGUGAAGAGCCAUAUCUGGUGAAGGCCAUAAGAGGGCCUGCCGUUUGACUGCAGCGCUGCUAUAGGCGCCUGCAGGGUCGGUUGUUUGCCUGCCUGCCUGCUGUGUUUUUGGGAUGGGAGGUUUGGCUAGGACUGACCCAAAAAGACACACAAACUUCUGAAUUCCCUCAAGCUCUUCGUUGUGCUUGAUGUAAAAUUCAUAAAGGGAGAGGAAGACGUUGAACAAGAGAGAUUUUCAUGGCUUGUGGGUAGAACAUGGAUCUGCCAUUUGCAGCUCUCAAGGAUUUGGAGGUGUUGCAGACUUAAUUGGGUUGCCUGGUGCUGGAGGCUGCUGAACUCAGGAAGCCAAGAGAGGGGCCCAUUUUGAAAAUGCAAAGAGAUGCUACCUAUUCAGAAAUGUCUUUGUUGUGUUUAUGACGUGGGCCCUGUACAGCCGAGAGGACAAAAAUAUUUGUAAAGCUAGAGAGUAUAUUAUGAUGCACUUCAGAAAGGUCAUAUUACCUAGUGGUGGGGAAAAUGUGACCUGUAAGCAGAACCCUGUGAGGAAUCAUAAGAGUUGGAAGAGGCCCGACAGGCCAUUUUAUCCAAGUCCCUGUUCCGUACAGGAUCAACAUGAAGCAGCCCAGACAAGUGUUAAAUAGAAUCAUAGGGGAUCCUUCUGAAGUGGUAAAAUCCCUUGUGAGAAAGACAGUGGAAUUUCCCCAAGUAGGAUCAGAGGGAUGUGUGAAUCCUCUGUCACAGGGCUAACAGCCUGUUUUUGAAAAGAACCGGGCCCACUACCCCCAGUUCUCUCUGUUGACGAGAUGUUUCUGGUACCCCGAGAUUGAGCUAGAAUGGUAACAUGAUUUUAUUUGACAGGUGGAAGGGGAACUUUGGAUCCUGGAAGUGAAUUACUUCACGGCUGGAGUUGAGAAUGGAUUUUCCCUUCAGGCUCCUGUCCAGGACUUCCCCACCCAACUCACCUGUGAAGGAGAAGCAGAGUUAGGUGCAUUCGGCACAUUGGCAGCGCAUCGCGUCAGAUCCUCUGGGUAGUAGCAGCAUCCCUCUUCGUUGAAGAAUGGCACUCGGGAAUCCGCACUGGCUGUUACUCCUGAAAGUGGUGUUCCUGCCACCUUUGAACACAGAUGGCCUCCAAGCACAGGGCACACAGGCUGUGUCAGGACUAAGAUACAAGCACAGUCCAAAGUAGUGAAGUCAGUAGGCUUAGAAAUGUAACGUUUUUGGGUGGCAUGUAACGAGAUCCUGAGUGGAUGGCCUUGACAUGUAUUGCAGGCUUCCUGUCCGCAAUCUUUGUGGCCAUUGAGCAAGCCCCACUUUGCAGUCCUAUUCCAUGGAUAUAUUUGUGGCAGAACCUCUUUUUAAAUAAACUUUUUUUUUAAAAAAAAA